CGCUGGCGGCGUGCUUAACACAUGCAAGUCGAACGAUGAGGCCCAGCUUGCUGGGCCGAUUAGUGGCGAACGGGUGAGUAACACGUGAGUAACCUGCCCCCGACUCUGGGAUAAGCCCGGGAAACUGGGUCUAAUACCGGAUAUUCUCCCUCCGCCGCAUGGCGGGGGGUGGAAAGCGGUUUAGCGGUCGGGGAUGGACUCGCGGCCUAUCAGCUUGUUGGCGGGGUAACGGCCCACCAAGGCGACGACGGGUAGCCGGCCUGAGAGGGUGACCGGCCACACUGGGACUGAGACACGGCCCAGACUCCUACGGGAGGCAGCAGUGGGGAAUAUUGCACAAUGGGCGAAAGCCUGAUGCAGCGACGCCGCGUGAGGGAUGACGGCCUUCGGGUUGUAAACCUCUUUCAGUAGGGAAGAAGCGAAAGUGACGGUACCUGCAGAAGAAGCGCCGGCUAACUACGUGCCAGCAGCCGCGGUAAUACGUAGGGCGCAAGCGUUAUCCGGAAUUAUUGGGCGUAAAGAGCUCGUAGGCGGUUUGUCGCGUCUGCCGUGAAAGUCCGGGGCUCAACCCCGGAUCUGCGGUGGGUACGGGCAGACUAGAGUGAUGUAGGGGAGACUGGAAUUCCUGGUGUAGCGGUGAAAUGCGCAGAUAUCAGGAGGAACACCGAUGGCGAAGGCAGGUCUCUGGGCAUUAACUGACGCUGAGGAGCGAAAGCAUGGGGAGCGAACAGGAUUAGAUACCCUGGUAGUCCAUGCCGUAAACGUUGGGCACUAGGUGUGGGGGACAUUCCACGUUUUCCGCGCCGUAGCUAACGCAUUAAGUGCCCCGCCUGGGGAGUACGGCCGCAAGGCUAAAACUCAAAGGAAUUGACGGGGGCCCGCACAAGCGGCGGAGCAUGCGGAUUAAUUCGAUGCAACGCGAAGAACCUUACCA
RNAcentral lists this ribosomal RNA (934 nucleotides) under Arthrobacter halodurans. RNAcentral's name for it is "bacterial SSU rRNA". It matches the Rfam family "Bacterial small subunit ribosomal RNA", at positions 34 to 976 of the family's 1533-position model. Lineage: Bacteria; Bacillati; Actinomycetota; Actinomycetes; Micrococcales; Micrococcaceae. The record is from RNAcentral.